Molecule: long non-coding RNA, 587 nt
Filed under: Medicago truncatula (barrel medic)
Lineage: Eukaryota; Viridiplantae; Streptophyta; Magnoliopsida; Fabales; Fabaceae
Description: long non-coding RNA (MTRU_LNC006770)
Source: RNAcentral
AUAUGUUGGAGCCUUGUGCUCAUAAGAUGGUGGUGGAGGUGAUUUAUACUCAUAGGGUGGUGGGGGUGAUGGUGAAGGAGGUGGGGGAGACUUAUAUUCAUAAGAUGGAGACUUGUGCUCAUAGGGUGGAGGUGGUGGAGAUUUGUAAAUGUAAGAUGGUGGAGGUGACGGUGAGGGAGGCGGUGGUGACUUGUAAAUGUAAGGUGGUGGUGGUGAUGGUGAUGGUGGUGGGGGUGACUUGUACUGGUAAGAUGGAGCCUUGUGCUCAUAUGGUGGUGGAGGUGACGGUGAUGGAGGUGGUGGUGACUUGUAAAUGUAAGGUGGUGGAGGUGAUGGUGAUGGAGGUGGGGGUGACUUGUACUGGUAAGAUGGUGCCUUGUGCUCAUAUGGAGGCGGUGGUGACGGUGAUGGAGGCGGUGGUGACUUGUACACAUAAGGUGGUGGAGGAGAAGAGUAAAUAUAACUAUCUGCAGCAGCAGAAACCACAGAAGUCGAAAUCAAAACAAUGACGAAUGCCAUUGCCAUUGGUGGCCAGUUAUGACCCCUUUUGGGGCUACUGGCCUUAGCAGUCAUGGGUAGAAUGAAAA